Molecule: ribosomal RNA, 253 nt
Filed under: uncultured bacterium
Lineage: Bacteria
Description: partial 16S ribosomal RNA
Rfam family: Bacterial small subunit ribosomal RNA
Source: RNAcentral
UACAGAGGGUGCAAGCGUUAAUCGGAAUUACUGGGCGUAAAGCGUGCGUAGACGGUAGCGUAAGUCGGGUGUGAAAGCCCCGGGCUCAACCUGGGAAUUGCAUUCGAGACUGCUCUGCUAGGGUGCGGAAGAGGGAAGCGGAAUUUCCGGUGUAGCGGUGAAAUGCGUAGAUAUCGGAAGGAACACCAGUGGCGAAGGCGGCUCACUGGACCGGUUCUGACGCUGAGGCGCGAAAGCGUGGGGAGCAAACGGG